GUCUAUAUAGAUUCUUAAUAUAAAGUCUAACCUGCCCACUGAGUUAUUAAAGGGCUGCGGUAAUUUGACCGUGCAAAGGUAGCAUAAUCAGUAGUCUUUUAAUUGAAGGCUUGAAUGAACGGUUGGAUGAGGGAAAAACUGUCUCUCUCAUAAAUUGAAACUUGACCUUUAAGUGAAAAGGCUUAAAUUAACUAAGGGGACGAUAAGACCCUAUAAAACUUAAUAUAAAUUAUAUUUUGUUCUUAAAUUAUAAAUAAUCAUAAUAAAAUCUAGUUUAUAUUUUGUUGGGGAGAUAUUGAUAUAAAUUGUAACUGUCUAAUCUAAAAAACAUAAUUAUUAUUAUAAUGUGGUCCUUCACUGAGGAUAAAAAGAAUAAGUUACUUUAGGGAUAACAGCGUAAUUUUUUCUGAGAGUUCUUAUCGAAGAAAGUAGUUGCGACCUCGAUGUUGAAUUAAAAUUUCAGUUAGGUGUAGCCGCUUAGCU
This 483-nucleotide ribosomal RNA is filed under the name Palaemon paucidens. RNAcentral describes it as "partial 16S ribosomal RNA". It matches the Rfam family "Bacterial large subunit ribosomal RNA", at positions 1829 to 2568 of the family's 2925-position model. The record is from RNAcentral. Lineage: Eukaryota; Metazoa; Arthropoda; Malacostraca; Decapoda; Palaemonidae.